GUUUAUGACCAUGCUACCCUGAACAAGCCCAAUCCCCUCUGAUCUCGAAGCUAAGCAGAGUCGGGCCUGGUUAGUACUUGGGUGGGAGACCACUUAGGAAGACCAGGUGCUAUAGGCG
Molecule: ribosomal RNA, 118 nt
Filed under: Pteropus alecto (black flying fox)
Lineage: Eukaryota; Metazoa; Chordata; Mammalia; Chiroptera; Pteropodidae
Source: RNAcentral